AUGAAGCGAUCUUCUUCAUCCUACGAUUUAGUCCUCCUGGCUAUUAUCGUAUGGUGCUUCCUGCUGCCAUGCUCUGCCUCCAGGGCCAAAGGCGCAGGCUUUAAUUUUCCAACCGGGGUGCGUGGAGAAGGAAUACGGCCGAAAUCACCCAAGCCCGGGGCGCCGAGGGCACAGAACUGCCCGGGCUGUGGCCACGACUACGCUCGGCCGCCGCCGGCACUCACGGCCCCCAGGCCGUCGAAGCAACAGAACUGCCCGGGGUGCGGCAAUGCCUACACUCCGCCACCAUCGUCGUCCGGUACGGCAGUUUCAGCGCCCCGGCCGCCGAACCAACAGAACUGCCCGGGGUGUGGCUAUGAAGACGCUCUGGCGCCACCCGUGGGUGCAACACGAGCGGCCCCCGGGCCACAUCACUGCCCGCGGUGUGACCAUGCCUACGCUGUAGCACUUGCGGCGCCACAGCGUAAGAACCUUCCCGGCACGAGGUACUGA
RNAcentral lists this ribosomal RNA (492 nucleotides) under Triticum aestivum (bread wheat). Its description in RNAcentral is "partial small subunit ribosomal RNA". The record is from RNAcentral. Lineage: Eukaryota; Viridiplantae; Streptophyta; Magnoliopsida; Poales; Poaceae.